Molecule: unclassified non-coding RNA, 953 nt
Filed under: Hevea brasiliensis (rubber tree)
Lineage: Eukaryota; Viridiplantae; Streptophyta; Magnoliopsida; Malpighiales; Euphorbiaceae
Source: RNAcentral
GUUUAUCUAAAAGAUUUGCGAUAUGUUAGUGAGUAAUAGGUAGUGGCACCAUUUAAGACAUAACAGUUUGAAUGAAAACUUAGCUUGAGAAAUGACAUUUCGAUAAACUAAAGUUAUUUUAAGAGAAAUACAGCAUAGUCUUGUUUUUGUAUAAAACUGCAGAAUAUAAACAAAAGCUUAUCUUGAGCAACUGAAAAUUCUUAGAUCACGCGUGAGAAACAAUGAUCAUAUUGACACAGUGAGUAUUAAAAUGGUUCUAUAGAAAAAGCAACGUUAAACUUUUAACGAUGUUAGAACUGUUGCAAUCUUUCUUCCAAAGCAUAUUUUUCAUUGCCCAUCAUACUUCCUACAAUACCUUGGGAGUUUAAAACAUAUUACCACCGGUUGAACGGAGAUUUUGCUUCUAAUUCUUGAGCAUUUUGAGCAAAUCUAGGUUUGCACGUGCUUGAUCAAAUCAUAUUAUUGAAGUGUAAAAUGAAAAUACUCUGGCUUCUGAAAGACAAUAAGAUCAUAGGUUUCCAAAUCACAUAAUAGCUGUUCAUGAGGUCAUCAUCACAUGAAGUAUAUGGUUCCCUUUCAUUUUCUUUACUUUUAAUUAUGCACAAAAACAAAAGAUCAAUGGACUAAGAGGAUAAGCUGUAUUAUAUAUUUUUUCAUGCUAGCAGUCAUAGAUUAUCAGAAUUCAAGAUUCCCAAUUUGAACUCUUGAGUUCCUAAAAUCUCAUAUGCAAAGGCCAUUAUGCUGGGUCCAUUUGGAAUUGAUGUUUGGGCUGCUUUUGAGAAAAGCAUUACUUUCAAUAUAGAUAAUUUGAAGCCACUAAAAAUUGUUCUUAACCACUACAAAUUGUUUUUAAGUUAAAUUUAACAUGUAUCAGUCAUAAUAACUCCAAAGCACCUAAACAGCCUCAAACGGCUUUUUCUAACAUUAUCUUAAAGCGUGCUCUCCAAAAAAAC